UCCUACCGACAGUCCGGCCUAAAAAGCCGGGCGGAGGGAGGAAGGACUAAGUCACGCA
This 58-nucleotide ribosomal RNA is filed under the name Didymodon tophaceus. RNAcentral describes it as "partial 26S ribosomal RNA". The record is from RNAcentral. Lineage: Eukaryota; Viridiplantae; Streptophyta; Bryopsida; Pottiales; Pottiaceae.